CAUGAAUCUGGACAGUUUUAACAAAAUCUGCAAUACUAUAUUUUAAAUUACCUAGUAAAGGUGAAAUCAAACACGAGUCUAUGAGCUCACAUUCUCUCACUAGAGUUUGAGAGCUUCUCUCUCUAACCUCUACAUUGUGUAACUGUCUGGUUAGCAAAACACUUUCUUCAAGGGAUAAUCGAGCAUUUGAAAGACCAAUAAUGACAGAAAACUCAUCAUUACCUAUGUUCUGUCUCCAGUUGUUUGCUUCAAUUUAAUGGAUCACCAGUCGCAGAUCAACACAGUUCUAGUUCUCAUGAACACAACCCAAGGCUCGCCACGACUCUCAUACGAAAAAAAAUAAAAUUGGUUACUUCACUUUUGAUUUCCCAGGUAUGCCGUAUUUGUAAAUGAAAUUUGAUCUAUAAAAUUUUACAUUUAUCGAUGAAAAAAAAUUUAAGAUUCAAUGCCAAUGACAGGUUUGGCUGAAGCUGCGAAGGCUGUCAAGGUACAAUGGUCAUUGCGUUGCGUAAGGAUAUUAGACAUAAUUUACC
RNAcentral lists this long non-coding RNA (533 nucleotides) under Olea europaea (common olive). RNAcentral describes it as "long non-coding RNA (OEUR_LNC000834)". Lineage: Eukaryota; Viridiplantae; Streptophyta; Magnoliopsida; Lamiales; Oleaceae. The record is from RNAcentral.